RNAcentral lists this ribosomal RNA (437 nucleotides) under [Eubacterium] brachy. RNAcentral's name for it is "bacterial SSU rRNA". It matches the Rfam family "Bacterial small subunit ribosomal RNA", at positions 28 to 447 of the family's 1533-position model. Lineage: Bacteria; Bacillati; Bacillota; Clostridia; Peptostreptococcales; Anaerovoracaceae. The record is from RNAcentral.
GAUGAACGCUGGCGGCGUGCUUAACACAUGCAAGUCGAGCGAGAAGUUUUGAAAAGAUUCUUCGGAUGAAAUUUAAAAUGGAAAGCGGCGGACGGGUGAGUAACGCGUAGGCAACCUGCCCCAUACAAAGGGAUAGCAUUUGGAAACGAAUAUUAAUACCUUAUGAAACUUAACUAGUGCAUGCUAGGUAGGUCAAAGAUUUAUCGGUAUGGGAUGGGCCUGCGUCUGAUUAGCUAGUUGGUGAGGUAACGGCUCACCAAGGCGACGAUCAGUAGCCGACCUGAGAGGGUGAACGGCCACAUUGGAACUGAGACACGGUCCAAACUCCUACGGGAGGCAGCAGUGGGGAAUAUUGCACAAUGGGGGAAACCCUGAUGCAGCAACGCCGCGUGAACGAUGAAGGCCUUUGGGUCGUAAAAGUUCUGUUCUAGGUGAUG